This 401-nucleotide unclassified non-coding RNA is filed under the name Hevea brasiliensis (rubber tree). Lineage: Eukaryota; Viridiplantae; Streptophyta; Magnoliopsida; Malpighiales; Euphorbiaceae. The record is from RNAcentral.
UCGCAAUAUUUGACAUCUGAAUCUGAUAUGUAAUCUCAGCAGGUUUCAAUCAAAUUCGUCCACGUAUCAUAGGAUUCUAGAUUCCACCUACAAAUUCCAAUAACCCUGUACAAACCCAGAAUGGAGGUACAGAGAUUCCAUUUUGUAUUCUUACAUGCCGAGUGACAAUCUACCUUUAUUUUUUGCCCCCCAAUUGAAACUCUGAAAAAGAGUAGAAAUUCUAAGCGGAAACAUACAUUAAAUCCAAUCGCUCAACAACUGUUUGAUUCACAGUUCNUUCCAAUUAUCGCAAGACAAUAACUUAGUAACCUGUACAAUUCACCCAGAAAUGUACGAAGCCAAAGUCUAUUAGAAGAGGCUUCAAACCAUCAUGAAUAAGUGCUUCGUCAGUCUUCCUCUGC